RNAcentral lists this long non-coding RNA (637 nucleotides) under Homo sapiens (human). RNAcentral's name for it is "novel transcript, sense intronic to TTYH3". The record is from RNAcentral. Lineage: Eukaryota; Metazoa; Chordata; Mammalia; Primates; Hominidae.
UUUUUUCUUUUCUUUUUUUUUUUUUUUUUUAAAUCGUAGACUUGGGCUGGGUGUGGUGGCUCACGUCUGUAAUCCCAGCACUUUGGGAAGCUAAGGCGGGCAGAUCACCUGAGGUCAGGAGUUUGAGACCAGCCUGGCCAACAUGGUGAAAACCCAUCUCUACUGAAAAUACAAAAUUAGCCAGGCAUUGGUGGCGGGUACCUGUAAUCCCAGCUACUUGGGAGGCUGAGGCAGGAGAAUGGCUUGAACCUGGGAGGCGGAGGUUUCAGUGAGUCGAGAUCACACCACUGCACUCCAGCUUGGGCAUCACCAGUGAAAUUACAUCUCAAAAAGAAAAGGCUGGGCACGGUGGUUCACGCCUGUAAUCCCAGCACUUUGGGAGGCCGAGGCGGGCAGAUCAUGAGGUCAGGAAAUCGAGAGCAUCCUGGCUAACACAGUGAAACCCUGUCUCUAUUAAAAAUACAAAAAAUUAGCCAGGCUUGGUGGCGGGUGCCUGUAGUCCCAGCUACUUGGGAGGCUGAGGCAGGAGAAUGGCGUGAACCCGGGAGGCGGAGCUUGCAGUGAGCUGAGAUGGCGCCACUGCACUCCAGCCUGGGCGACAGAGCGAGACUCUGUCUCAAAAAAAAAAAAAAAAAAA